Molecule: transfer RNA, 76 nt
Filed under: Escherichia coli
Lineage: Bacteria; Pseudomonadati; Pseudomonadota; Gammaproteobacteria; Enterobacterales; Enterobacteriaceae
Also listed under: 2 other names
Description: tRNA-Val
Rfam family: tRNA
About the family: Transfer RNA (tRNA) molecules are approximately 80 nucleotides in length. Their secondary structure includes four short double-helical elements and three loops (D, anti-codon, and T loops).
Source: RNAcentral
GGGUGAUUAGCUCAUCUGGGAGAGCACCUCCCUUACAAGGAGGGGGUCGGCGGUUCGAUCCCGUCAUCACCCACCA